This is a long non-coding RNA of Helianthus annuus (common sunflower), 496 nucleotides long. RefSeq lists it as uncharacterized. The record is from RefSeq and is a predicted model, not a curated record. The transcript is spliced from 4 exons. Lineage: Eukaryota; Viridiplantae; Streptophyta; Magnoliopsida; Asterales; Asteraceae.
GGAAAAGAAAAACACCAUGUCUGGUGUUGGGAUCGAUCGAACAAGGGCAGGGAGAGGGUGAAUAACCCUAAACUCAAGAAAUCAAGAAUUGAAGCUAAAAUCUCAAGGAAAAUUCGAUGCAUGAGCCCUUCUUUGCGAAAAUCUAACCCUAAUUAUUGAAGUGGCGUGAAAGAAGAAGGUACAAGCACUAAGCAAGCGGAAGGAGCACAAGAUCGAGGCGUGAAAGAAGAAGGUACAAGCACUAAGCAAGCGGAAGGAGCACAAGAUCGAGGUAAAGCACCUCUAUAGGCGAUAUGGAGAUAUGGAACGAGCACAUGUUCAAGCCUUAUAAUACCAAGCGCUUCCGCAACUUAUAUGCAUGCUUUUUGGGUUCUUGUUUUGUUACUUGGUUAAACUUUGUUGAAUCGUUUUAGGUUUGAAAACUAGUUAUUUUCGUUGGUAUGGUUUUAUGUAAAUUGGGUCGUAUGUAAACGUUGUACGUCGUGUCAAAACAGGG